UAAUAAGUGUUCUACUGCACUUUUUAAAAAUAGUACUCACCUUGUGUGCAAUGUUGUGUGGAAUUCCUACUUUCGAGUGAGAAUUUCACACCUACACCAACCUAUAAACUUGAAAUACUUUGUCUGAAAAACUAUUAUGAAUACUUAAUUCAAAAUACAACUUUCAACAACGGAUCUCUUGGCUCUCGCAUCGAUGAAGAACGCAGCGAAAUGCGAUACGUAAUGUGAAUUGCAGAAUUCAGUGAAUCAUCGAAUCUUUGAACGCACAUUGCACUCUCUGGUAUUCCGGAGAGUAUGCUUGUUUGAGUAUCAGUAAACACCUCAAAUCUCGACAUUCGUGUUGAGAAUUGGACUUGAGCAAUCCCAACUCUUUGCAAAAAGAGGCGGGCUGCUUGAAAUGCAGGUGCAGCUGGACAUUCUUCUGAGCUAAAAGCAUAUUUAUUUAGUCCCGUCAAACGGAUUAUUACUUUUGCUCUAGCUAACAUAAAGGUUGAAUGUACUACGUGCUGACUGAUGCAGGAUUACCGAGUUUCCGUCAAAAGAAACUUGUAAACUCGAUCUCAAAUCAAGUAAGACUACCCGCUGAACUUAAGCAUA
RNAcentral lists this small RNA (597 nucleotides) under uncultured fungus. RNAcentral describes it as "eukaryotic LSU rRNA". The stretch from base 159 to 312 matches the Rfam family "5.8S ribosomal RNA". The record is from RNAcentral. Lineage: Eukaryota; Fungi.